Small nucleolar RNA from Salvia miltiorrhiza (redroot sage), 107 nucleotides. Lineage: Eukaryota; Viridiplantae; Streptophyta; Magnoliopsida; Lamiales; Lamiaceae. The record is from RefSeq and is a predicted model, not a curated record.
AACUGGUGCUGUGGGCACUGGCGGAGGAGCUCUUGGAAUCUCUCCCAAGCUUCGUGGAGAGGCUCGUCAGCUCCUUGCAUGAAGUUCAUUAUCCUGGCUCCUAAUCU